This 135-nucleotide small nucleolar RNA is filed under the name Notamacropus eugenii (tammar wallaby). RNAcentral's name for it is "Small nucleolar RNA SNORA84 (ENSMEUG00000017942.1)". It matches the Rfam family "Small nucleolar RNA SNORA84". The record is from RNAcentral. Lineage: Eukaryota; Metazoa; Chordata; Mammalia; Diprotodontia; Macropodidae.
GCCCCGUGGUUCCUGGCCGCUGUGGUCAGUACAGCUCGCCAGGCUGCGUAGACGGGCCCACAGCAAGCCGCAGUGAUGUAUGCGUGGGGUCCGCGUGCCCCUGGCAGCCCCCACAGCCCGGUCACUGGGACACGC